GACAGAAAAUAUGAGGAUAUUUUUUAAACCAAACCUCACCCGAAGGUUGGGUCGUCUGCUGGAAGAAACAGGUCAAUGUUGGAAAGAUACCUGAAUUAAAACAUUAUCAAGUUGGAUGGGACAUUUAAAAACUUUUGUUACUGCCACACCAGUACAUUAUUCCAACAAUUGUCUAAUGGGAAAACCAUUCUACUCAUCAAUGUUGGUUGCUCAACUCAGCUUUACUUGACACAACUUAAGUGAGGGGAAAAAAUUUCUUUUAAAAAAAAAAAUCAAUAACUUCAACCUAUGAAAAUCGGAAUCAAGAUGACUUGUAUUCUGAUUGCUAAUGAAGAGAGAACUAUGUGUUACUAACACAAUGAAUGAACAGCCAGUCCCCAACCCUGAUGGGGCCUCACUGCCAGCCCCAACCAGAGCCUCAUUGUUUCCAGCGUCUCGAUUGCCUGCUAAAUCGUCUGCUUGCGCCAUGCCUCCAUCUUGCGAGAGUGCCGUCCCCUUCUCGUCAUUAAAAAAAAAAAAAAACCCAUGCCGUUGUUGGUCAUCCUUGAAUGGAUUCUGUUGGAAAAUAAAAUGACAUCUGAGAUGCCAACUGAGACAGGCAAUAAAAAAAAAUAAAAUCUGUCAUCUGCACCCUCCAUUUCUGCAGUCUACAGCUAUUGUCUGAGACAGGAGAAGAUAACUGCCGACACAGAUCAGUGAAGGGCUUGUGUCUGAAUAAUGUGAGAAUAAGUUUCCACUCCAACCAGACAUUGGACAUAGCAGUGUUUUCUGUGACUAUACUGUCUGCUGUGGCUUACACUUGUUACCUUCAGCUCACAGGAGAACUUCUGGAAAAACAAAGGGGGAGCAGUAUGCAGUUGGAACAAGAUGAGAUUGGAGUGACAAAAGGAAACAUGGUGGUGGUGCUUGCAGCCCUGGGCCCUGUUUGAACUAAAUGACAAUUUAAACCCUUCCAUCUAAUAAAGAAAAACAAAUGGUGUAGAGAUGCUCCACUUCCAUACAGAGUCAAAGUAGUUGCUGGUUUCAUUGCAUGAUGGCAAGGUAUUGCUAAGUUUAUUUAUCUUAGUUUCAGUAUCAGUUGUAGUGAGACCUUAAUGAGUUAUAGUGAGAACUUAACAUAAGAUUUAUAGUGUGCAAACGUAUGGUUUAAAUUGGUAAAUUUAGAAGUUUUAGCUUCUGCCUAAGCAGGGGCAACUUAAGUAUUUUUGUUUCGGUUUAGUAUUAGUAGUUUUGUUAUGGCUUCCAAAGUGAAACCAUAAUAUGAUGUAUAGGUCUAUACAGUAUAUAUAGGUCUAGUGAGACAUUAAUGGCAAAGCUGAACCAUCUAGUAAGGUGUAUUGGGUGUAUAAGUAAGCUGACUAAAAGAUGAAUGGACUCACAGGUUUGGGAUGAGUCACAUCUGUUCUGUGUAGGACAGCAACCUGGCAAAGUAAGAAAAUCAUCAUUCAAAACCUCAGAAUAAAAUCACUGGUGAUUGUGUGUGGGAAAAUUGGUAAGGACAUUUCAGGUGUUCUUUCUAAAAAAAAAAAA
Physella acuta is the source of this 1530-nucleotide long non-coding RNA. RefSeq lists it as uncharacterized. NCBI's taxonomy places the organism in Eukaryota, Metazoa, Mollusca, Gastropoda, Physidae. The record is from RefSeq and is a predicted model, not a curated record.